GGUCCAGAGCCAUCCGCUUCCGGGUCAGGCUAAGCCGCCUGCUCUUCGCUGCUACUGUAGGUGCCGCGCUGUCGGCGUUCGCUGCUCCUGGAAAAGCCCGAGCCGCGACACCGCCGGCCUUAGCGCUGCGCUGCCCGGAACCGCCCCUAAAGAGGAGACCCGGGGCGGGGUCGCGCCUCGGGCCUCCGCUGCGGUCCCCGGCAGGCGGGAGCCGGCGCUGCGGGGCCUGCGGCGGAGCGCGAUACCCCUCCCCGGCCGCCCUGUCUACCUUGCCGGGGAAGGCGGAAGAUGCCAGUGAAGAAGAAGAGAAAAGCUCCCGGAGUGGCAGCGGCGGUCGCGGAAGACGCGGGCCUCAAAAAGUGUAAAAUCCCCAGCUAUUGCAGAUCCCAGCCUCCUGCUAGACUCAUCAGUGGAGAGGAAGAUUUUUCAAGAAAGAAGUGCCUGGCUUGGUUUUAUGAGUAUGCAGGUCCUGAUGAAGUUGUAGGGCCAGAAGGAAUGGAAAAAUUUUGUGAAGACAUUGGUGUUGAACCUGAAAACAUUAUUAUGUUAGUUUUAGCAUGGAAAUUGGAGGCUGAAAGCAUGGGAUUUUUUACCAAGGAAGAAUGGUUAAAGGGAAUGACCUCAUUACAGUGUGACUGCACAGAAAAGUUACAGAGCAGGUUUGAUUUUCUGCGCUCUCAGCUGAAUGACAUCUCAUCUUUUAAGAAUAUCUACAGAUAUGCCUUUGAUUUUGCAAGGGAUAAAGAUCAGAGAAGCCUUGAUAUUGAUACUGCGAAGUCUAUGUUAGCUCUGCUGCUUGGGAGAACAUGGCCACUCUUUUCAGUAUUUUACCAGUACCUGGAGCAAUCAAAGUAUCGUGUUAUGAACAAAGAUCAGUGGUACAAUGUAUUAGAAUUCAGCAGAACAGUUCAUGCCGAUCUUAGUAACUACGAUGAAGACGGUGCUUGUUUCAGAGGUUGGAACCAAGUAGUGGCUUGUGUUGAACUUGCUCUCCAGUUGGCAGUCCACACAGUGUUCCAAUAUUGCCAUUUACUGCUUUGCCUGCCCAGCUGUUUUUGUAUGGUCUGCUAAAAGCAAGAGAGAAAAGAACACAGAGGUUUUAUGUUUUGAGAAAAACAAGACAAUCUUAUCUUCGUGGUCAUACUUUCCAUACAUUUUGAAAACACAAAUACUGAAACCUCAUUUAAAUGGCCCACUUGGCUCUGGUGGGCCUGUUCUUCUUGAUGAAUUUGUUGAGUGGCAAAAAAUCCGUCAAACAUCAUAGCAAGAACUGUCGUGAAGACAAUGCAAACCUUGUGAAGACAAUGCAGAGAGGAGGCAGAGUACAGAAAGGGUGCAUUUUCACUCACGAAAGACUUCUCAUAGUACUUCUUUUCCUUUUUUUUAAAGGAAGUUUUCUUGUUACAUGUGAUGGGCAUUGAGCCACAUGUCUUCUGAGACUGAAUAUUGACAUUUUUGUUUCAAGUUAUGUUUUUAACAUUUAUUUCAGAACAAUAAAGAUUCAGAUUUGUGACAAAGGCCUUAAAGUGAAGAUGUCCGUUGAGUGUCAGAGUGGUAUUUAUUUUUGUAAAUUUGAUUUCUUUAACUUUUGAAGUUCUAAAUCACCAUGAGUUUGUAGAUUUUUAAAGACUUUAAGCAAUCUAAAUACUUGAGAGUAUAACUUGCCAACGGUGUGGCUACUAAUAAUUCCUCUUUGCAUAAUUAGGAAACAUAGUAACCUUGACUUGUAGGAUCCUGUUUUUCUGAUAGCAGCUAAUAGUGUGGGAAGGGCUCCAACUGAAGGUUGUUAUGAAAAGCUAUUUAUGCCAACUUUAUCUAAAGAGUAUAGGAUUGGAAAGAUUAUGUCGAAGUUGUCUUUAUUUUCUAACCAUUAAGUUUUCAAUAAGUAUUCUUAAUGUGAAUUGUAAGUUUUCUGUAUUUCUGUAAGUUAAAAAGUCUUAUUUCUAAGAGUAUAGUCAGACAACCUUAGGAAAGCUUUAGAACCAGUAUUGAAGUUGUGCUCUUUCUUACCAUUAUUUAGUAAUUAGUGUGUUUUUAGCCAUGAAGCUAUAUGGAUUUGCUGAGAGCACUUUGUCUGAUUUCAGAAUACUUGAGCUUCAGUAUUGUAGACUUGGUUUGAUACACACUGGAGAAGAAGAGAACUAUAAGGAAGUAUGAGAGACUUGAUGGAAUUGUACACCUCAUAAGGCCAUUUACUUUGUUCCCUGUAUGAAGGUCAAAUUCAAGACCUUGAACUAUGUGAGGUACUACACUGAGCUAUACUCCUAACCCCAGGGAAGCAGUUUACAUUUACAGUCAUAAUUUGCUAUUUAUCACAGUCUUUGGCUACUAGCAGAAAGGUUAUGACAAACAUGUAUAAUUUAUGUGGAAGGUACAUUUUAGAUUAGCAUCAGGCCUAUAUGUUUAUUGCUUUUCAGAUCACCCAGUGUCUCCUUCUGUGAAAACUCUUGAGACCCAAAACCUGAGCUCCAUUCAUAUUAGUACUUGUUCCAUUGUAUAAGUAGAAAGAAAUAGAUACAUUCUCUUUUUCCAGAAAGAAAAUGUCAAUUGUGAUUUACAGCAAAGGUUGAUUUUUUUCCCCUUGGUAAAUUCGUUUAAUGAAUGAUUCUUAGUACUGCUUUCUUAAGGGAAAGUAUCAUUCUGAAGGUUUUAUUUGCCUUUGGUUGAUAAGUAAAAAGAACAUGAUUACUGCUGUUCCAUUUGCCUUCUUAAUAAGAUUACAAAGCUAUAUGAACCAUUAACAGAGCAGUGAGAAAUAACCUGUUCUGAAGACUUUCACAUGUGGGGCAUUUUCUAGGAUUGGUCAUUUUAUGUGUGAAACUUGUUAGUAGGCAUUAGCAUGCCAGCAGUGUUAUCAUUUAACAUCACAAAAGAUGGUUUAAAACAAGAUUUAGUACAAGAAAAGAUUUACAGUUUUACAGUUUGAGGGUGGGGCUUGGAGUUACUGGGGUCUUAAGUAGGGGAGGUCCUACAUAUAUACGAGGCAAGUGUUCUGUCACUGAACUAUACAUUUGCCCAGACAAAUAUUUGUAUUUGUCCAUCUAGACACUGGAAUUUAUAACUUAAAACAUUUUUUAGAUUAUUUCAUUGAUUGUUUUGCCUGCAAGUAUGUCUUUACACCGUGUCUCUACCUGGUGCCUGUGGAGUUCAGAAGAAGACAUCAAAUCAGAUCCCCUGGAACUGGAGUUGAAAAUGAUUUGAGCCACUAUGUUAGGUGCUAGGAAUAGAACCCUGGUCCUCUGCAAGAGCAGCCAGUGCUCUUAACUGCUGAGCCAUAUCUCCAGCCCCUAACUUUAUAAUUGUAUUAUCUUCUCCAAGGUACAAAUUGGAGAAUAUUUAAGUGAAAUCUUGCAAGCUUCUAGGAUAUAAUCUGAACUAAUGACCUAUCUAUCAUCUGUAUUUAAGUAAAAUAAUACUCAAAUCUUAUUGAUGACCUUUAAAAAGUAAAUGGAAGUGUAUUUCAUCUGUUACCUAUCCAAGAGUGGGAAAAGAGAACCUUUUAAAAGUUUUUUAAUCAGAAAGUUAAAUUUAAGUUCACUGGGUUUAUUUGUUUUUCCUUAAACUCAUCACUCCAGUUAUGUCGCCUUUACUCUUACUCCACGUAUUUCUUGUCUCUCAGUUGUUAAUAUUUGCCUGCUCUAAAGGCAAACUUGUCAUUUGUCAGGAUGGAGGCUAUUGUCGCCUUUACUCUUACUCCACGUAUUUCUUGUCUCUCAAUUGUUAUUAUUUGCCUGCUCUAAAGGCAAACUUGUCAUUUGUCAGGAUGGAGGCUAUGUCCCUUGAAUGUCAAACAUUUUAAGAGGCCUGCAGUUUAGAAAUGUACCUCCUUUCAAAAACUGAAGUGCCUUCCCAGAAAUUCUCUUAUAAAAUGUUCAGUUUUACUGUGUUAUAUAGAACGAAAUACCUAUGGUGCUUUAUAACGGUGGAGUUGACGUCUUAUAUAAUGUACAUGUGGAAGAAAUAGUUCCAGGUGUGGCAUUUUAUCAGGAAGGGUGGAGAGUUGGUCUCUAUAGCCUUUUGGGGUCAGUGAGAGUCAAGCCCAGUAGGUAGCAAAGCAGUGAUGUGUGAUAUACUUACCUGAUCGAUAGUCGUGCUUGUCUCUAACACCGAGAGAUGGCUUGUGUGAGUGCUGCUGAGAAAAUUCUUGAAUUCUUAAGACAGUGUCUCACUUUGUAUCCCAGGCUGGUUUUGAGCUCAUUCCAUAGCUCAAGCUCGGCCCCACCUCAGAAUCCUCUGGCUGAGCUUAGCCUCUUGAAUGUCUUGAUGACAGGUGUUAACUACAGCACCUGGCCUGACUUAGUAUCUUUUUGACAGUCUUCUUUUUAAUGUUUAAGGCAUGAGGCUUUGUUGAUAGGUUUUUACUCUGAACUAGUCUAGAUUAGUUUUUAAUGGAAUGGAAAUGUGAAAGUGUUUCAGGGGGGACCCUGGGGACUAUAUCCCUUAUGUACAAAAGCCUUUCACUUAACAAACCAAAGCAACACCAAGUACCAUCAGUUUUGGUAAGGGGGUUGUGAGAUGGGAUGAGAGGGAUUAGCUUUCUGAGAUAAGUGAAUUUUAAGGUAGGAGAAGUUGUUCAGCUUCAGGAAACACAAAAUAUGUUACUAGUGACCAUUUCUCUUUUUUUCUAUUUGUUCAACAGAGCAUCUUCUUUCUCAACAUGAAAAUGUGAACAAAUAAUGCAGCUUUCAGGAGCAAGUAUUAGAGGCCCUGAAUAACAUGUUUGGCUUUUGAAUUUUGAUAAUACUAUCAGGAUAGUGACUUAUAAUAAAGCAAAAUUUUGUUCUGUUUUGUAUGCCUAAAGUUUGCAGAGUAACUCUCACAUGCUUCCUAGAUGAUUAAGUAGGAAUAAUGUAAUUGAAAUGCUUCUUAAAAAACAAAAUAGCAAAGUAAUAUCCUAUUGCUGAAGAAAAGUUUGUUUUUCUGGAGAGGAAUUUUCUCAAGGCUUGACAUUUCUUGCAUGAUGCUGAAAAAUACCACAGAAAGCAUCAGAGACAGAGACAGGAUCUUUUUCUCUUCAGGAAGGAAGCCCAGGAGAAAAGUCUAUUCUGAGUUACCAAAUUCCCUGGAUCUUAUAUCUCAAUGAUCAUCCUUACUUAGUAACAACCAGACAGAUUAGUUAAGGUUCAUUUUCUGUUCAUGGAUUUGAAUCCCCCCCAAACAGUAUAACUUUUAUGGUUAGCUUUUAUAGACUGUAAAAAAGUGUUUCUGCUUCAAGCCUUGUGCAUAUUGAGACUUGACUAUUGAGGCAGCAAGUGAGCUCUGCAGCACAUUUCUCAGCACCCAACUUAGUGAUGAGUCACACAUUUGCUGUGUCUGCCUUGUUAUUAUCAGUUGUCUCUGCUUUGUUAUUAGUAUAGUUAGUAUUUCCCUAAUUCUGUCCCCCAUUAACUAUUAACCACCACAUAGAAAAUAAGUCUGAAUAAAAGCCACUUAGUGCAAAGAACACUGCUCUUCAUAUGAUGCUGCUAGUCACAUUUGAACCAUGCAAAGACGGAAACAUAAUACUUGUAAUAGCUUGUCAUGCAACACUUAGAAUUACUAACUUAACAUACUUACAAGUAAAGUUUUUGAAUGAUGGUAGAGUACCUAUACUGUUCCUUGUAAGUUCCCAGAAGAAACAUCAGAGUGUCUCAGGUUCUUCCCUUUUCUUGAAUACCAUUGUGUCACUUUAGGUAAGUUACUUGCCUGUCACCUGCAGCUUCAUCUGGAAAGCCGUAUUGGUAGUAUCUAUCAGUAUUGUAAAGAAUUGCAAAUGGACACCAGUCCCUAGCAUAUAAUAGAUGUUAAGUAAAUAUAUCUUGGUAUAUAAACGAAAAGUGAUUCAGUAGUUCAUUUUCUUACUACAGGGGGAUGUAGCUCGGUGGUAAAGUUCUUGAACAGUAUUUUUGUGGUCUUCAGUUCAAUACCUAGUAGUGGCAAAGAAAUAAGAAUAAAAAUCACUUUACUGUGGCAUAUUUUAAUAUACUUGCUUUUUACUCUACCAUGUGUUUGUUUAUAUAUUAUUCUUUUUAGACUAGAUCAGUAAGCAACAAAUCUCAGCUUUCUGAUUUUUAUCAAGAACUUCUUUGCCUGACUAUACAGCAGAGCAUAAAAUACAUAGUCUGGGAUCUGUAUGGCAAUUUCAUUUUAAGGUACAUGAAAUACACAGGUAAGUAUGGUAAUGAGGCUAUUUUAGAGAAAUAUGCUGAUGAAGGAUGGACAGUGUGUUAAUGUAAAGUUACUGUUUUAAAGUUUGUGUGUGUGUGUGUGUGUGUGUGUGUGUGUGUGUGUGUGUGUGUCUGUGUCUGUGUGUGUGUGUGUCUGUGUGUAUGUAUGCAUGCCUGUGAAACAAGCAAUGCAGUAAGGUGGCAACUUGUGGGAGUUGGUUCUUUGCUUCCACUCUGGCUCCUAGGGCUCAAGCGAAUGUCCUCAGGCUUGGCAGCAAGUGCCUUUAUCUGCUUGUUGACCUAUCUCUCUGGCCCUGAGAGAUAUUUGCCAUUUUAAAUAGACCACAGUAAGUGUUAAAACUCAGCCGAGACCUGAGGAAAUGAAUGAGGACAGUGUAUGUUUGGUUGGAGUAUUCUAGGCAAAAAGAAGAGUAUAUACUGAGGCUGUGAUGAGCUGGUAGUGUGCUAUAUUGAGGCCAGGAGAUGAUGCAGCUUUAUAACAGUAUUCACAAACAUUAAAAAGUGAAGUGAGAGAUUGGGGUUAAUAGUUGUGGCCUGAUUGUAGCUAAUCACAUGGCAUUACAGUCUUUUCUAAAGACUUCUCACUGACUUCUCAUAGCAGUUGGAGUUCUCAUUAAAGGGAUUACAGAAAGAUAAAAAAUGUACUUAAAAGCCAAAGUCAAUAGAAGUGAUCAGAUUCCAAAUACGAUGUGAUGUAUGUUGUGAGUAUGGGGUGUGAAGGAAAGUGGUUUCAAGGUAUUGGGCCUUGCGGUCCCAUGAAGGAAGUUAAGCACUUACUGAGAUGCAAUGACUCAGAAGAGCAUGCUUGAGGUUAAGCAGUUUUGACAUAUGUGUGUAGAAGAGCGUGUUAGUUGUCCAGGUUGAUGGUAUAGGAAACAGCUGGAUAUUUUAAUAUGGUAUACUAAAGCAUGUAUCAGAUCCAUUUGAAAGCCAUAGUGUAUAUGCCUGCUUUAAUUGAGGACUAAAUUCAUAUAGAAGCUAAGUACAACCAGAUAGUAGAGCUGAACUGAUAAGACUUGUGGGAUUUUAGAGUAGUUUCGUGAUUUGAUUUUUUUUUUCUUUUCUUUCUUUCUUUUAUUUUUUUAAGUGCCCACAUCCUUCAUAGGAGCAGGACCUAGUAUUUUUGUUGUUGUUGUUUUGUUUUUUGGGUUUUUUUUUUUUUAUUGGAUAUUUUCUUUAUUUACAUUUCAAAUGUUUACCCCUUUCCAGGUCCUCCCUUAGAAAACGUUAUCCCAUCCCUCCUCCCCCUGCUUCUCUGAGGAUGCUUCCCCACCCACUCCUGUCUUCCAUCCCUGGCAUCCCCCUACACUGGGGCAUCAAACACCCUCUGGCUCAAGGGCUUCUUCUCCCACUGAUGUCCAACAAGGCCAUCCUCUGCCACAUAUGAGGCCAGUGCCAUGGGUCCCUCCAUGUUUAUUCUUUGGUUGGUGAUCCACUCUCCAAGAGUUCCAGGGCAGGUGACCGGUUGACAUUGUUGCUCCCUCCAUGGGGCUACAAACAGCCUCACUUCCUUCGGUCCCUUCUCCAACUCCUCCGUUGGGGACUCUGCACUCAGUCCAAUGGUUCCCUGAGAACCUCUACCUCUAUAUUUCUCAGGCACUGGCAGAGCCUCUCAGGAGACAGCCAUAUCAGGAUUCUAUCAGCAAGCACUUACCUACAUCCACAAUAUCAUCUGGAUUUGGUGGCUGUAUAUGGGAUUGAUCCCCAGGUAGGGCAGUCUCUGGAUGGCCUUUCCUUAAGACUCUUCUCUACACUUUGUCUCCAUAUUUCCUCCUGUGAGUAUUUUGGUCCCCCUUCUAAGAAGCACUGAAGCAUCCACAUUUUGGUCUUCCUUCUUAGGCUUCAUAUGGUCUGUGAUUUGAAUCUUGGGUAUUCUGAACUUUUGAGCUAAUAUCCACUUAUCAGUGAGUGCAUCCCAUGUGUGUUCUUUUGUGACUGAAUUAAUCUCACUCACUUGAUAUUUUCAAGUUUCAUCCAUAUGCCUAAGAAUUUCAUGAAGUCUUUGUUUUUAGUAGCUGAGUAGUACUCCGUUGUGUAAAUGUACCACAUUUUCUGUAUCCAUUCCUCUGUUGAGGGACAUCUGGGCUCUUUCCAGCUUUUAGCUAUUAUAAAUAUGACUGCUAUGAACAUAGUGGAGCAUGUGUCCUUAUUACAUGUUGAAGCAUCUUCUGGGUAUAUGCCCAGGAGAUAUAUGCCAGGUAUACGCUGGGUCCUCAGGUAGUACUAUGUCCAGUUUUCUGAGGAACCGCCUGACUGAUUUCCAGAGUGGUUGUACCAGCUUGCAAUCUCACCAUCAAUGGAAGAGUGUUCCUCUUUCUCCACAUCCUCACCAGCAUCUGUUGUCACCUGAAUUCAUGAUCUUACCCAUUAUGACUGCUAUGAGGUGAAAUCUCAGGGUUGUUUUGAUUUGCAUUUCCCUGAUGACUAAAGAUGUUAUGUGCUUCUCGACCAUUCGGGUUUCUUCAGUUGAGAAUUCUGUUUAGCUCUGUUCCCCAUUUUUAAAUAGGGUUAUUUUGUACUCUGGAGUCUAACUUCUUGAGUUCUUUGUAUAUAUUAGAUAUUAGCCCUCUAUUGGAUGUGACAUUGGUAAAGAACUUUUCCCAAUCUGUUGGUUGCCGUUUUGUCCUAUUGACAGUGCCCUUUGCCUUACAAAAGCUUUGCAAUUUUAUGAGGUCCCAUUUGUCGAUUCUUGAUCUUAGAGCAUAAGUCAUUGGUGUUCUGUUCGGGAAAUUUUCCCCUGUGCCCAUGUGUUCGAGAAUUUUCCCCACUUUCUCUUCCAUAAGACUCAGUGUAUCUGGUUUUAUAUGGAGGUCUUCGAUCUACUUGGACUUGAGCUUUGUACAAGGAGAUAAGAAUGGAUCUGAAGAGGUCUGCAACCCUAUAGGUGGAACAACAAUAUGAACAAACCAGUACCCUCAGAGCUUGUGUCUCUAGCUGCAUAUGUAGCAGAAGAUGGCCUAGUCGGCCAUCACUGGAAAGAGAGGCCCCUUGGUCUUGCAAACUUUAUAUGCCCCAGUACAGGGGAACACCAGGGCCAAGAAGUGGGAGUGAGUGGGUAAGGGAGCGGGGGGGGGGGGGGUCAUAGGGAACUUUUGAGAUAGCAUUUGAAAUGUAAAUAAAGAAAAUAGCUAAUAAAAAAAAGAAUGGAUAUUCAGUUCUAUUCUUCAUCUACCUGCCUGUCUGUACCAAUACCAUGCAGUUUUUUGUUGCUGUUUUGUUUUGGUUUUUUUUUUUUAAAUCAGGAAUGAUGAUUGCCCCAGAAGUUCUUUUAUUACUGAGAACAGUUUUCGCUAUCCUGGUUUUUUGCUAUUCCAAAUGAAUUUGAGAAUUGCUCUAUGAAGAAUUGAGUUGGAAUUUUGAUGGGGAUUGUAUAGAAUCUGUAGGUUGCUUUUGGCAAGAUGGCCAUUUUUUUCUAUAUUAGUCCUGCCAAUUCACAAGCAUGGGAGAACUUCCCAUCUUCUGAGGUCUUCGAUUUCUUUCUUCAGAGACUUUUGAAGUUCUUGUCAUACAGAUCUUUCACUUGCUUGGUUAGUCACACCAAGAUAUUUUAUGUUGUUUGUGACUAUUAUGAAGGGUGUCGUUUCUCUAAUUUCUAUCUUAGCCUGUGUAUUUUUGAGUAUAGGAAGGCUACUAAUUUGUUUGAGUCAAUUUAAUAUCCAGCCACUUUGCUGAAGUUGUUUAUCAGCUGUAGGAGUUCUUCGGUGGAAUUUUUAGGGUCACUUAAUUAUACUAUCAUAUCAUCUGCAAAUAGUGAUAUUUUGACUUCUUCCUUUCCAAUUAGUAUCCCUUUGACCUUUUGUUGUCUAAUUGCUCUGGCUAAGACUUCAAGUACUAUAUUGAAUAGAAUGGGAGAAAGGGCAGCCUUGUCUAGUCCCUGAUUCUAGUGGGACUGCUUCAAGUUUCUCUCCAUUUAAUUUGCUGUUGGCUACUGGUUUGCUGUAUAUUGCUCUUACUGUGUUUAAAUAUGGGCCUUGAAUUCCUCAUCUUUCCAAGACUUUUAACAUGAAGGAAUGUUACAUUUUGUCAAAUGCUUUCUCAGCAUCUAAUGAAAUGAUCAUGUGGUUUGGUUUUUUUUAUUAUUAUUAUUGUUGUUGUGGCAUUUGUUUAUGUAGUGGAUUACAUUGACGGAUUUCUGUAUAUUGACCAUGCCUGCAUCCCUGGGAUGAAGCCUACUUGAUCGUGGUGAAUGAUAGUUUUGAUGUGUUCUUGGACUCAGUUUGUGAGAAAUUUAUUAAAUGUUUUUGCAUCAAUAUUUAUAAGGGAAAUUGCUCUGAAGUUCUCUUUCUUUGUUGGGAUUGUGUAGAUUAGGUAUAAGCUGCAAUUGUGGCUUCAUAGAACAAAUUGGGUCGUCUUUCUUCUGUUUCUAUUUUGUGGGGUAGUUUGAAGAGUAUUGGUAUUAGGUCUUCUUUGAAGGUCUGAUAGAAUUCUGCACUAAACCCUUCUGGCCCUGCGCUUUGUUGUUGUUGUUGUUGUUGUUGGAAGGUAAUUUCUUUAAUUUCUUUUUCAAGUAAUGAUGUAAUAUUAACAUUCUCAGACACAGCACACCCCCUAAUGUUAUGAAGCACUUGGAUUUUUAAAGCAAUACUGAUAAUAGUUACCAAAUAUAUAAUCAAAUGGUACAUUAAAAGGAUAUGUGUCAUUUUAUUAUUUCAAACUUUUUGUUCUGAACAAUACAGUUUUACGUUUUAAGAAUACUAUGCUAAUUCACUUCUGGUAGUUGGAAAAUGCCUUCUGAUUCAAUUCGAUAGUUUUAGCACUAGAGGGCAGCCUUGCCUGCUUCUGGAUUGUGAAGAACUGAGUGAAUUUAAUUAAGCUAGCUUAAUCUUAAACAUUCAACCUCAGUAAAUGAAUGUCUUAGUCUCUUUAGAAUCAAGUUUUCCAUCCACUGUGGGUUUUUUCUUAUUAUUCUGAAAGUACAAAAUAAGACUGAUUUUGAGGGAGAGGGAGUUAGUUGUUGAUGUUAUUAUAUAUCUCCAUAUAAAAUCCAAGGAAAACACAAGUAUCAUUUACUGUAGUUAUGUUCAGAUAUGAUAAUGGAUUGAACAUAGAAACAUAUAAAUGGAACAGAAUAUGGAGCUAAUUAAAGAAAAUCUUGUACAUGAAAAUAUUUAUUCAGAAAACAGAUUUAGCUCCUAACUGUGCUGAUCUUGUAAUAGGAGUCAAGGCAAAACCAUAUCCAAGUGAGUACCUAUGUAAAUAAGCUGUUGUACAAGCAUUCCCAGCGCUCCAGAGUUUGCACCUGUGUACUAAAUAUCUGUUCUCUUCAGUUUUAGAGAUCCUGACCCGUUAGUCUUUGGUGCUGGCAAGUACCCAUCACAGUGCUUGGCAUUUAGGCUAAUCCACACUGUUUGAAUAUGUAGAUACAAAGCAUCACAGCUUAUACAAACCUGUUUUCACACGUCUAGGGAAGCUUUCCUAUCAUUGUGUCUGAAGAUAUGAAUAUAUACUUCUGUCUUUUCUUAUUUUCUCUAACAACCUUUACCUAUGGAUAAAGGUUAUUAGACAUUGACUAUUAGACUGUAAUGUUUAGUAGGAAACAAAAUAAAUAAAAACCAAAAGCAUUGUCAACGGUGGAAAGGAAAUUCUAGCCUUUUUACAGUCCUCGGAUUUCCAAUCUGACUUUUAUUGGAGAAGUUGAAGGUGAAAUAUAACAUCUGCAGUGAAUGAACCCUCUUCUUUCUCACAAUUUUCACUAGGAAGGUCUUCUCACAUUCAGGACUGGUUUUCUGCACCUUUGGGCAUUCUUUCUUCCUCAUGCUAGUUCUUGAAUUUCUUUGUACAUGAAGAUCUUUGUAACAUCCUUAUUUAUCAGGACAAGGCAAUACCGUGCAGACUAUCUAUUCUCCAGUCUGAAUCAAGCAUCAGUUGAACUUGCUGGAUAUGUGUUCAAUAAAUGCUAGCAGUUACAUAAAAUCAUUUGAAAGAGUUGGUCCACUUAUAGAUGCAUUUGGUAAUGUAAGAAAAACUUGGCCCCUAAUGUCAAUGAUGUUUACCAAUUAUUUCCUCUGUUAGUACAGUUGACAUGGUUCAGUGGUUCUUAAGAAGUGGUUAAAUAUAAGUAAGUGGGAUUCUUAGUCUAGAGCAGCAGUUCUCAACCUGUGAGUCGGAACCCCUUUGUGGUCAAACAAUUCUCUCACAGGGGAAAUCUAGAGGUUUGAAAAAUAGAUAUUUACAUUACUAUUCAUAACAGUAGCAAAAUUACAGUUGGGAUGUAGCAAUGAGAUUAUUUUAUGGUUGGGGUUCACCACAAUAUGAGGAGCUGCGUUAAAGAAUAGCAUUAGGAAGAUUGAGAACCACUGGUCUAGAUUGUGUUUGGAAUGAAUACACAAGCCUUAACUGCUAUAGUUAUCUUUAAAAAUCUGUCCAUUUACACUGCACAGGAAGAAUUUUAUGAAACAAAGUAUUUUAAUGUCUUACUACUUCUCUUAAAUCAAUUGUUUUUUAAAAUUAGAUAACACUGUUUCAAAAGAAAUUUUACCAGAAGUACAAUUUCUUAAAAUAACUAAGUGUUCUGGUUGGACCAGGGAGCUCUGUGUCUUCUUCACUCACCUGUACUAUUUCCUAACUUUCAAAGGACCACUACCUUUCUAGUUGCUGUGCUUUGAGCACCACUUUGUGCCCACUUGUACUUCACAGAGUGGAGAAACUCUAGAUUUCUAUUUAGAAAUUUCUAUUACGUCCUUACAUAAAGUCAGGAAGUAUCUGGCAUUGUUUUGAUCUGCAUAUGAUGACAAGUGCUUCAAGUCUCACUGGGAACUUUCUAGAACGAUAGAGUAUGUUAGCCUUGUUUUAGAUUCAUUAUCUAGAGUUAUGCCAAAAAGAGAAGGUACUACAAGUAUCCAGCAGAUAUGGAACAGACAAAAUGAUUGACUGUCAAUAGUUUGAAGCUAAAACGUUGCUAUAUUCUUUAUUAUAUAAGAUAAACUUGAAUAGUUCCUAAACUGGUUUUGUAUUUGUUUAGUUUUGUUUUGUUUUUGGCAGUCUCCUAGAAUUGGGAUGCCUGGAACAUACUAUGUUAGGCCAAAGUGGCUUCAAACUCAAAACAGUCCUGCCUCUGCCUCCCGCGCCUCAGCCUCAGUGCUGGAUUUAUAGGUGGGGGCCACCAUGUUUUUUCUAAACUCUUUUGAAGCUUAUGAUCCCCAAGAGGACAAAGCUCAGAAAGCUGCUAAGGUAUUCAGUUCAUAAGGUAUUCAUUGAGUUAUUCACUUCAUAAUGUAUUUGUUGUGAGAAUAUACAUGACUAUCAUCCUUCCAAUGCUGUAAAUUUCUUGAAAAAUCUGCUUAUGCUCGUGGCUAGUAAUUUAGAAGUUUGCUUAGUGACAUGAGUGAACUAAUGAACUCUUACACAAAAUGUCUACCUGUUUCUUACACAUUCUUAAGAAUGAAAAGCAUGUCUUAAGUUUCUAACAUAGUGUCUUGUCUCAAGAGUUUGCUGGAAAUGUUGGCUGAACCAAAUAGAUGAAAGUAUGCAUGUCACCAGGGUCUGAGGUCUUCUUAAUGAAUAAUGAAUUAUUUCAUGACUGAAGACACCCCCUCAGUAUGUUCUCAGUUCUUAAUAGUUGAAUAACGUGAACAACAAGCUACAAGAUGAGCGUCUGUGACUUCUCGGCAGAUGAGACUUUGGAGGUGGGGGAACUGGAGUUUUGAGGAUGCACACUGGUAACCUGUCUUGUUUUCUAAAGCCCCCCAUAAUGCCUAAUGCUUUACUUUGGGUGCAGUGGGUUCUGAUAAUUUGUUAAAUAACAAUCAGUGCAUGAUACUAAUUGAUGAACAGAGCCACUCUUAAGGCCGGCUCCUACCCCUGUCAUUAAAGCCGUGAGCUCUAGGAAAGAAACUGGAUCACUCGGAAAUCCCUGGAACUCUGAAGUUAAAUCAGAACUGAGUAAGUCAUCAUUUUCAUACAGGCAUUUUUCUAAUGAUGCUACUUUGUUGAAAAAAAGCAAACUGCAAGAUAACCCCAGCAGAAAAAAUUCUUCAGAAGGAAAGCUUCCUUGAGUGAGUGCUUCAUCCUUGAUGGUAGGCCACUUGACUUAGUGAGUCAUCUUCCUAUUUACCGAUGAUUUGUCUUAAGUUUGGUCAUGAGAUAAUUACGUUGAUUUGUCUAUAUUAGGAAGUAAUUGGAGAAAAGUUGAUUGCUAUCAGUUGAAUGAGGGGAAAUCUGAUUGUUCUUAAUCUAGAGGCAUGACUUGGGCUCUAACUUUAUAAAGAAUGGAUUUAUGGCAUUAUUCCUUGUGUCUAGAAGGCACAACACCAUUCUGUCUCUAGUAUCCUCCAUGUAUCUACUGCCUCUCAUAAUCAUUGAAGUCUCCAUCCCUACUCUGAGGUCUGGUUGUUUUUAGAAAAUAAAAGUACCCAUUCCUUCUGCCCACCUUGAUCCACCAUGAGUCCUGUAUAGAGUGCUGGCAAUGCUAGACUGGGAUAGCCUAUCACAUACCGUCCUACCUUACUAAACUGCGAGCUCAAGAGCAGGCCUAUAGAUCUUUGCUAUACUUGUUCCCAAUGCUUAGAACUAUACUCACUAUGGAAAAAGCACUAAUCAAUGGAGCAAGUAAAUAAAUGAGAUAAUUUGCUCAUGAGACCUGUUAGCCAACCUGUGUAGUUUUGUUCUCUGUGGUACACAUUAUCAUUCCAUUUUUUCAUAUUGAACUACUAUUUAAUACAAAUGAAUAUAAGAAAUGCUUAUUAACUGUAAUAUUUUUAUCCUUAAAUGGCAUGUAUUUUAAUGACUGUCCAUUGCUGAUGGCACAGGGAUAGUUCUUAUGCUUUGCUGAAGGAACUUCAAGUUAGCAUAGCAUUUUUUUAUAAGGCACCUAAGAAGAUAUAUUCAAAACUCUUAGCAGCUUUCAUAUCCUUUUACCUAGCCAUUCUGGUUACAAAUGUAUCCUGGAGAAAAAUAUUUUUAACUUGGGGCAGUUAUAUAAAUGUUGCAAUGUAACUUCUAACGCACCUUGGAGUGUUAUACCAUCUUAUACCAUGCCAUAUUAGCGAGUGAAAAUGACAUUUUAAAUCACCAUAAACAAUGUGAUAGUGUGCUUUAAAACAGGGCAUGUACAAGGAAAAGACUGGAAAGGUUGAGCACCGACUGUAAAAAAUGAUAACUUCUGGGUAACAGAGUUUUUCUCUUAUUGUUUUUUUUUUUCUGUAAUAAAAUCAGUAUGUAACAGUUUUAGAAUAUAAAAUCAAUAAAGGUCAUUUAAAGAAUA
Mus musculus (house mouse) is the source of this 15369-nucleotide RNA transcript. It is a transcript of the gene named defective in cullin neddylation 1 domain containing 5, with no coding region annotated. The record is from RefSeq and is marked validated. The transcript has 9 exons. NCBI's taxonomy places the organism in Eukaryota, Metazoa, Chordata, Mammalia, Rodentia, Muridae.